UACGAAGGGGGCUAGCGUUGUUCGGAUUUACUGGGCGUAAAGCGCACGUAGGCGGAUUGGUCAGUUAGGGGUGAAAUCCUGGAGCUCAACUCCAGAACUGCCUUUAAUACUGCCAGUCUCGAGUCCGGAAGAGGUAAGUGGAACUCAUAGUGUAGAGGUGGAAUUCGUAGAUAUUAGGAAGAACACCAGUGGCGAAGGCGGCUUACUGGUCCGGUACUGACGCUGAGGUGCGAAAGCGUGGGGAGCAAACAGG
Molecule: ribosomal RNA, 253 nt
Filed under: uncultured bacterium
Lineage: Bacteria
Description: partial 16S ribosomal RNA
Rfam family: Bacterial small subunit ribosomal RNA
Source: RNAcentral